Molecule: long non-coding RNA, 1501 nt
Filed under: Felis catus (domestic cat)
Lineage: Eukaryota; Metazoa; Chordata; Mammalia; Carnivora; Felidae
Description: lncRNA (ENSFCAG00000052334.1)
Source: RNAcentral
AUGAAUUUGUGGAACAGCUCGGUGACCCUGAGAAACCUGUUUUGCCGCUGGGGGAACUGGUCUCCUGGUGUCCGGGCCUGUGGGUGCUCAGUGUCAUUGAUAAGGAAGCUAUCUUUCCUCCUGGGCAGGUCUGAUACCUUUGUGGAAGAGAAGGGCGUCCUGCCAAAAAUAGGGUUUUUGUUUGUUUGUUUGUUUGUUUGUUUUAAGAAUAGGGUUCUUGCACAAGGAAACCAGCUCUGCAGCCAAGGACCUUCCUCAGGAUCCACAAUCAUCAAAAGUCAUGAAAGAGUUAUAAAUCACAAUUACUCUGUUCCUUCAGAAGGACGCAAAACAGUCAACUUUCAUCUGCCACAACCAGAACCAGUGUUGAAUAUAUCAACACUGUGCCAAAGAAGCAGGGGACAGAAUCCUGGGAAGAGGGCUUCUGAAAUGCUGGCAGACACGAUGAAAUGGUGGAUGAAUGGUGGAGGUGAAACAGCAGAAAAUGGAAGGGGAACAAACAGGACUGCUGGGGGCAAGUUAAGCAGGGUUGGCCUCCACUGCAGACUUUCUGGGGUGUUAUCAUCAAUGAGCCCCAAGUUUCCCCCUCAUGUAGCUACCAUUAGCUUUCCAGAUCCUGGGCAAUUUCCACCAUGUCCUUGAUCUCAAUAUCUUCCCUGAAAAAGAGAAAUAGGAAUGAGGAUAUUUCCUUUGAAGCAUUUUUUUUGUAGGAUCAAAUGAAAGAUCAAUGAAGAGCCUAGUGCAGUGGCCAUCAUUAUGUACACUAUUACUUAACAUGAACCUCAACAUUUAUUUCAACUACAUCAGUUCACUGCCUUCAUUUUGUCUGUUUAAUUAUAUAAUUAUCUUUUAUUCCCAAAGAUACAGUUUUAUUUUGAAACAUAUUAUGUAAAUUAUGGUACACGUCCUGCACAGAUAAAGCCAUCCAGUGAUGAAUGACAAAGAUCUGGAAACACCACUCUAUAUCCUGCUGUGCAGGAAGAACAGUGCUAGCCCUACGAGGGAUCCACAAAAAAUGAGGCAGACUUCUAGCCAGCAGACAUCUCCCAGCUGACUAGCCUAGUUAGCAUGGCAGCUGAUACAUACAUGGUGCUGACACCAAUGGCACCUACUAGAAUAACUGCAGUUUGGAAACAGAAUGUUUGCCCUACCAGUGUCACUUUCAAAGGAUCAAUUAACUAAUUAAUUCAACAAAUAUUCAGCGAUGCCUUUCCACUUGUAUCAGAAAUUGUUCUGGAUGGUGGACUGACAAAGAACAAUGAAACAUGGCCCUUGCCUUCAAGGGUGUCACAAUGUAGCAAGGGAGACAGAUAGGUCCAUUAUACCAACAGAUAGGGUCCGGAUGACUACAAUGUGUGCUCAGCAAUGUUCUGAGCUGCUUUUGCCCAGUGGGCAAGAGACAAAGAUUCCUAAGAUCAAGAGGUUCUAGUCAAGCAGGAGCUAUGGUGGGGGGAGGAGAGAGAAAUAAGCAAUCAACAUAAUAAAACAAGUAAAUAACACA